This 427-nucleotide long non-coding RNA is filed under the name Nicotiana tabacum (common tobacco). Its description in RNAcentral is "long non-coding RNA (NTAB_LNC012573)". The record is from RNAcentral. Lineage: Eukaryota; Viridiplantae; Streptophyta; Magnoliopsida; Solanales; Solanaceae.
GGGCCGUUUAUUAGCCUGGCGAUGAACUUGUGAGCCGAGAAGCUCAUCCAGAAGGUUGUUAUCAAAAUACUCAAAUUCAAUAACCUUCUCUUCAUGAUCAUGUCCCUCCAAUCUCACAUUCUCUUGUUGAUCAGAAGAAGCAGUAGCUGAAGAAGAAGAUGGUAAAGAAGAAGAGGCCGACAUGUGCGCGUUUCCCAUGGAUGACGCGUAGCUUGGUCCAGGACCUAGAGGUACUUUAGUAUUAUUAUUGUGAUGGUAAUGUCCAUCGUUUGGGAAGUUGAGGAUGGCUUGGUGGCCCCUUAGAGAAAAGGCAGCCCGAUCAUAUGCUCGGGCUGCCUCUUCAGCUGUUUCAAAGGUGCCUAGCCACAGGCGUGACCCGUUCCGGGUAGGGUCACGUAUCUCCGCUGCAUAUUUUCCCCAUGGCCUU